RNAcentral lists this long non-coding RNA (1742 nucleotides) under Eutrema salsugineum. Its description in RNAcentral is "long non-coding RNA (ESAL_LNC001615)". The record is from RNAcentral. Lineage: Eukaryota; Viridiplantae; Streptophyta; Magnoliopsida; Brassicales; Brassicaceae.
ACCUUAGUCUCUUCAUCUUCUCUCUUUUUCGUCACUUUUUCUCUUAAACCGCCGUUCACUUCUGAGACGAUUUCCCGGCGAUCCGUGAAGCUCCACGCGACGUAUAACAUAUCAAAUCGAAGCCCCGGAGGUAAGCUUUCUAAUGAGACCGGUUUCGCCCUGAUCCGGGAUUGUACACGAGAGUUAUCGUGAACCGCGUAUCGGGUGUCCAGAUCUGUUCUCUCUCUCUUCCUCUUUCUCAUCUUGCCCUAAUCUCUUCUUUCUCUCCUCUCAGUCGAGCCUCUCCCUCUCCAUUGCAAGAUGUGUGCGCCUCUAACUCCUCCUCCUCUUGAAACCGAAUCCAGUGAUGGUGGAUCUCCACUUCGUCAUCCUUCUCCUAUGCCAUCACCUCCUUCUAUUGCUCGCCCUUCUGUGCCAAGGUGAGGACCCUGUGCUUCACCCUCUCUUUCAUUCCUGUUCAUAGUAGUUAGUCUUCUCUUAGGUUAAGUACUAGAUCUGUGUGCUAGGGUUAGAUUACUAGAACCUGGUUCCUUGUUGAUUGACUGUUGAUGAUUGCUGGUUGUUGGAGGAACCUUGAUGACUAAACCUGAACUUGGAACUAAUCUAUGAAACCCUAAAAUAUGGAUUGAUUGUGUGUGAUCUGGAUUACCUUGUUUGAGAUAGUUUAGAUUGUGUGAUAUAGAACUGUUAGGUCCCCGACCCCUUUCUGUGGUGAUUGGGCGGUGUUUCUUGUUGGGCUAGUGGCUGGAUUGGGCUAGUCCAACGGUGAGCGGGAGGUACGCCGAUCCUCCCGGAGCCUGUAUGGCUGGAGGCCUGUCUGUGUGACCGCCUUGUGACCCUUUCUGUGUGAUUGGGGGUGUGUCCCUUUCUGUAGUGAUUGAGGACGACUGAGUGACUUUUACUUGUUGAGAUCCCUUUCUGUGGUGAAUGGGUGACCCCUUUCUGUGGUGAUUGGGUGGGCAGAGUGACACAGUUGAUAAGACGGUGAUGCUCUCCUCAAUGGGAUAAGGUUACUUUGUUACUUGGUAGUUGCUUGUAGGGUUACCCUUGUUUGCUAGCUUGACUUAGGAUUAGUCUAUCUGCUGUGUCCAUGAUUGUUAGAUGGUGUUGUGGGCCUCCUUAAGGUCCAUCCUCGCUGAGUAAUCCCAAUUACUCACCCCUCCUCUUUCCUUGUUUUCAUUUUCAGGUAGAUCAGUUCUGUCUAUAUUGUUGAUUGCUAUCUGGGCGUUUUCGAUCCUGGCAGACGUGAGGCUCACCAACUGGACCAAACCAGGCGUCUGACCGAAUGCGGUUAGAUGGCCAACUUAACAUGUCCUAUUUCUCCGGUUUUCUUAGGAAGUUUGGGAUAGGAAUGUUACAAUAAUAUUAUGCUUAAUAAUGGUCGACAUUUUUAACCUCUGGAUCAUUAUAUACCACGUAAUAACAUCUCUUGUGGUCAUUAGUCUCUCCACAAACGGAUUAGAUAGAGCUACGUGGUUAACCGCAACGCUGUGAAUUUCCGAACUUCCGCUAACGUCGGAGAGAGAGGAGGAGGUUGCUGGGCCUGCCGGCGCCGGAAUGGGCUCGGAACUCAAACCAUCUCGAGUAAAUAUAAUCUUGACGGAUUAACUAACUUUUAGCUGGGCUGAUAAUGGGCUUUGUCCUCAACUGAACUAAUGUCUGUUAUAAAUAAUCACAAUUGCUACUGAACUCAUCAAUUAGAAACCCAAGAACUCUGCCUAAAUAGAACACUUCAAAUGAUC